UGCUGGCUGGAGGGCUGUGAAGGUCGGGUCUGGAAGGAUCUGAAUCUGAUUGAGAACUGUUAGCACCAUGUUGGUCCACGCCUAAGAGAAAGGAUUUAAGAGAAUCAUCAGCUUUCUCCUGUGGUUUCAUUUGAACUCUCAGUCAAUGCCAUAAUGAAAAUCGGUGAGAAAGAUGAAUUGUAAAAAUUCUGCUUACAAAAAUGAGGCAUCCUUUCUAUAAUCAACAGAGAAAACACAUGAGAAUACAAAGAAGAAAAAAGUACAUUUUGAAUCUCGAAGAGUAAAUCCAAGGUUGGCGGCUGGUGCUGCCGUGGGCAGUUGGACACAGCUGCUGUUAGCUGCUCCAGCAGGAUGAUCCAGACUUCUAUCAGACCUGGAAUGCAAAACCAGACCUCUGUGACAUUUGGUUAGACAGGAUACAGAAUCAUUGCAAGGUCAACAGGUAAAGGAA
Molecule: long non-coding RNA, 451 nt
Organism: Eptesicus fuscus (big brown bat)
Lineage: Eukaryota; Metazoa; Chordata; Mammalia; Chiroptera; Vespertilionidae
Exons: 3
Source: RefSeq, a predicted model, not a curated record